GUCCCGCCCAAACACGUGUACCGCGUGCUGCAGUGCCAGGAGGAGGAGCUCACGCAAAUGGUCUCCACCAUGUCUGAUGGCUGGCGCUUCGAGCAGCUGGUGAACAUCGGCUCCUCCUACAACUACGGCAGCGAGGACCAGGCAGAGUUCCUGUGUGUGGUGUCCAAGGAGCUCCACAGCUCCCCGAACGGGCUGAGCUCAGAGUCCAGCCGCAAAACCAAGAGCACGGAGGAGCAGCUGGAGGAGCAGCAGCAGCAGGAGGAGGAGGUGGAGGAGGUGGAGGUGGAACAGGUGCAGGUGGAGGCAGAUGCACAGGAGAAAGGUGCAGCCAACCCCCAGGAGGAUGAUUGCUAAGCAAAGCCGGAGCCUCCCGCCCACUCCUUGCUGGAGCCAGCUGCAGAACCGGGGGCCCCGGGGCUGCUGGGGGGGCACCAGGGUUAGCUCAGCCACUUGCCUGGCGCCUCACCCGCAUAACCAUCCCUUCUCUCACUUUCUCUUUGCAGCCCAGUCAUCUCAGGAUCCCGCUAACCUUUUCUCCCUCCCACCACUGCCUCCUCCUCCGCUUCCCGCUGGAGGUCCUGCCUCAUCUUCAUCCACCUCUUCUUCCUCCUGGAUCUCAUCUGCACCCUGCCUCUUCCCUCUCUGCCCCUGUCCGGGUUUUCUCUCUGCCUGCUCACGCCUCCAUCCCGGGUCUGCCCUGGUCCCAGCCUCCCGUGCCCUCCACCCAGGCCCCCUGGCCCUGCAUCCCAGAGCGUCCUGCCUGCCGCCUCCUGCGCCCCUUCUGGUACCUCCUGCCUCCCAGCCUGGG
RNAcentral lists this small RNA (808 nucleotides) under Pongo abelii (Sumatran orangutan). RNAcentral's name for it is "retained intron". The record is from RNAcentral. Lineage: Eukaryota; Metazoa; Chordata; Mammalia; Primates; Hominidae.